UACGAAGGGGCUAGCGUUGCUCGGAAUCACUGGGCGUAAAGGGUGCGUAGGCGGGUCUUUAAGUCAGGGGUGAAAUCCUGGAGCUCAACUCCAGAACUGCCUUUGAUACUGAGGAUCUUGAGUAUGGGAGAGGUGAGUGGAACUGCGAGUGUAGAGGUGAAAUUCGUAGAUAUUCGCAAGAACACCAGUGGCGAAGGCGGCUCACUGGCCCAUUACUGACGCUGAGGCACGAAAGCGUGGGGAGCAAACAGG
Molecule: ribosomal RNA, 252 nt
Filed under: uncultured bacterium
Lineage: Bacteria
Description: partial 16S ribosomal RNA
Rfam family: Bacterial small subunit ribosomal RNA
Source: RNAcentral